RNAcentral lists this transfer RNA (50 nucleotides) under Cloacimonas sp. (SeqCode). Its description in RNAcentral is "tRNA-Ser". It matches the Rfam family "tRNA", at positions 26 to 71 of the family's 71-position model. From Rfam's summary of the family: Transfer RNA (tRNA) molecules are approximately 80 nucleotides in length. Their secondary structure includes four short double-helical elements and three loops (D, anti-codon, and T loops). The record is from RNAcentral. Lineage: Bacteria; Pseudomonadati; Candidatus Cloacimonadota; Cloacimonadia (SeqCode); Cloacimonadales (SeqCode); Cloacimonadaceae (SeqCode).
UCGGGCUCAUAACCCGGAGGUCACAGGUUCGAAUCCUGUCCCCGCUACCA